Molecule: long non-coding RNA, 441 nt
Organism: Fukomys damarensis (Damara mole-rat)
Lineage: Eukaryota; Metazoa; Chordata; Mammalia; Rodentia; Bathyergidae
Exons: 3
Source: RefSeq, a predicted model, not a curated record
UGGGCCCGCAGCCCAAUCCUCCACCGCAACACGCCAGAGGCUCUGCUCUGCCGUCCUGUGGAUCUGAGUGGAGCUCUCCGAGAUGCCGGGAAGGCGGUGUAAAAGGAUCCGUCAGCUGUCCUCCUUUUUCCCAACAAGGGCUGGCCUGGGGGUGGGGAGACCUGGGUGGAGAGCCUGCUCCUCCAAAUAAGAGAGGAAAAACUCGUGACUCAGGGAAAGGCAGAAGUUGAGUCAGCCAAACCACAAGCUAUGGAAAAAAUGAAGUUUCCCUGAGGCCUUUUCUGCUCCCUGGGGUGAAGCCAACUUCUCAGUCAUAAGGAUGGCCAAGCAACUGGAGAGGCCCACCUGGGAGAAACUGAGGCCUCCUGCUAAUAGUCAACAUCAACUUAUCCGCUCCAUGAGUGGGCCAUCGUGGAGAAAGAUCACCUAGCCCCAGAAAGC